RNAcentral lists this RNase P RNA (335 nucleotides) under Clostridia bacterium. RNAcentral's name for it is "RNase P RNA component class A". It matches the Rfam family "Bacterial RNase P class A". Rfam says of the family: Ribonuclease P (RNase P) is a ubiquitous endoribonuclease, found in archaea, bacteria and eukarya as well as chloroplasts and mitochondria. Its best characterised activity is the generation of mature 5'-ends of tRNAs by cleaving the 5'-leader elements of precursor-tRNAs. Lineage: Bacteria; Bacillati; Bacillota; Clostridia. The record is from RNAcentral.
CGAGCGGACUGAGCAGUCGCGUGCGGCAACGCAUGAGGAAAGUCCGAGCUCCGCAGGGCGGGAUAACGGCUAACGGCCGCCGAGGGUGACCUCAGGGAAAGUGCAACAGAGAUAUACCGCCGCCGCUUUUGCGGCGGUAAGGGUGGAAAGGCGAGGUAAGAGCUCACCGGCGCAUCGGAGACGGUGCGGCCCUGCAAACCCUAUCCGGAGCAACGCCGACUGAAGCGAUACAUUUGCCCGAUGUGCUUCGACGGGCGGCUGGAGCUGUCUGGUAACAGGCAGUCGAGAUAGAUGACUGUUCACGACAGAACUCGGCUUAUAGGUCCGCUCGGAAA